UACAGAGGAGGCAAGCGUUGUUCGGAAUCAUUGGGCUUAAAGGGCGUGUAGGCGGCGGCGCAAGCGUCGAGUGAAAUCUCACCGCUCAACGGUGAAACUGCUCGGCGAACUGCGUCGCUUGAGGUCGGUAGAGGUGCCUGGAACUCUAGGUGGAGCGGUGAAAUGCGUAGAUAUCUAGAGGAACGCCAGAGGCGAAAGCGGGGCACUGGGCCGAUUCUGACGCUGAGACGCGAAAGCGUGGGGAGCAAACAGG
This 253-nucleotide ribosomal RNA is filed under the name uncultured bacterium. RNAcentral's name for it is "partial 16S ribosomal RNA". It matches the Rfam family "Bacterial small subunit ribosomal RNA", at positions 524 to 776 of the family's 1533-position model. The record is from RNAcentral.